UACAGAGGUGGCAAGCGUUGUUCGGAAUUACUGGGCGUAAAGGGCGAGUAGGCGGCCUUCUAAGUCAGACGUGAAAUCCCCCGGCUUAACCUGGGAACUGCGUCUGAUACUGGGAGGCUAGAGUAUGGGAGAGGGAUGUGGAAUUCCAGGUGUAGCGGUGAAAUGCGUAGAUAUCAGGAGGAACACCGGUGGCGAAGGCGGGUCUCUGGGCAACAACUGACGCUGAGGAGCGAAAGCGUGGGGAGCGAACAGG
Molecule: ribosomal RNA, 253 nt
Filed under: uncultured bacterium
Lineage: Bacteria
Description: partial 16S ribosomal RNA
Rfam family: Bacterial small subunit ribosomal RNA
Source: RNAcentral